UUGGCCACAUCAUAAGAAGAUACGGCACAUAUACUAAAAUUGGAACGAUGCAGAGAAGAUUAUCAUGGCCCCUGUGCAAGGAUGACAUGCAAAUUUGUGAAGUGUUACAUAUUUUU
This 116-nucleotide small nuclear RNA is filed under the name Carlito syrichta (Philippine tarsier). Lineage: Eukaryota; Metazoa; Chordata; Mammalia; Primates; Tarsiidae. The record is from RNAcentral.